CGUCUAUAUACGUAUAGCAUAUCAAUAAGCGGAGGAAAAGAAACUAACAAGGAUUCCCUUAGUAACGGCGAGUGAAGCGGGAAGAGCUCAAAUUUGAAAUCUUCAAGGUUCUACCUUGACGAAUUGUAGUUUAAAGAAGUGUUUUCUGUUAGAGGAGUAGCAAUAGUUCCUUGGAAUGGGACAUCAUAGAGGGUGAGAAUCCCGUAUUUGGUUACUUCUUUCUAGCUUUGUGAUACACUUUCAAAGAGUCGGAUUGUUUGGGAAUGCAGUCCAAAAUGGGUGGUAAAUUUCAUCUAAAGCUAAAUAUUGGCGAGAGACCGAUAGCGAACAAGUACCGUGAGGGAAAGAUGAAAAGAACUUUGAAAAGAGAGUUAAACAGUACGUGAAAUUGUCAAAAGGGAAGCGUUUGACACCAGUGUUGUUUUUCCGAAAAUCAAUUAAGAGUGGCUUGAUUUUGUGUUGUAUUGACCUUAUCAGCUUUCUUCACUCUUUUUCGAGUCUUUCUUAAUGCACUUUUCGGUUAACAAGUCAACAUCAAUUUCUUUUGUUGUAAAAGGGUAUUUGGAAGGUGGCUUUCUUUUCGGAGAAAGUGUUUAUAGCCUUAUACCUCUACAAUCGGAGAGAUUGAGGUCUGCAGCGUAGAUCCUUCGGGGCUAGAUACACUUGUGCUAAGUUAUAGCUUUUCAUAGACAACUUGUUGACUAUGUUUAGUCAUGUAGCUUACCCGCUUGUGCUAUUUUACCUACGCUUAGGAUGUUGAGUCAUCACACAUCUCU
This 776-nucleotide ribosomal RNA is filed under the name uncultured Neocallimastigales. RNAcentral's name for it is "partial large subunit ribosomal RNA". It matches the Rfam family "Eukaryotic large subunit ribosomal RNA", at positions 26 to 618 of the family's 3401-position model. Lineage: Eukaryota; Fungi; Neocallimastigomycota; Neocallimastigomycetes; Neocallimastigales. The record is from RNAcentral.